ACGCGAAGAACCUUACCUGGGCUCGAACGGCUUAAGAUCAACUUUGGAAACAGAGUCUUCUCGCAAGAGACUUGAGUCGAGGUGCUGCAUGGCUGUCGUCAGCUCGUGUCGUGAGAUGUUGGGUUAAGUCCCGCAACGAGCGCAACCCUUGUCCUGUGUUGCCACUCCCGCAAGGGAAGCACUCUCAGGAGACCGCCAGCGAUAAGUUGGAGGAAGGUGGGGAUGAUGUCAAGUCAUCAUGGCCUUUAUGUCCAGGGCUACACACGUGCUACAAUGGCCGGUACAAACCGCUGCAAACCCGCGAGGGGGAGCUAAUCGGAAAAAACCGGUCUCAGUUCGGAUCGCAGGCUGCAACUCGCCUGCGUGAAGCUGGAAUCGCUAGUAAUGGUAUAUCAGAACGAUACCGUGAAUACGUUCCCGGGUCUUGUACACACCG
This 436-nucleotide ribosomal RNA is filed under the name uncultured bacterium. RNAcentral's name for it is "bacterial SSU rRNA". It matches the Rfam family "Bacterial small subunit ribosomal RNA", at positions 959 to 1392 of the family's 1533-position model. The record is from RNAcentral.